CAGCCGCCGCGGGAAUACAGAGGGUGCGAGCGUUAAUCGGAUUUACUGGGCGUAAAGCGUGCGUAGGCGGCUUCUUAAGUCGGAUGUGAAAUCCCUAAGCUUAACUUAGGAAUUGCAUUCGAUACUGGGAAGCUAGAGUAUGGGAGAGGAUGGUAGAAUUCCAGGUGUAGCGGUGAAAUGCGUAGAGAUCUGGAGGAAUACCGAUGGCGAAGGCAGCCAUCUGGCCUAACACUGACGCUGAGGUACGAAAGCAUGGGGAGCAAACAGGAUUAGAUACCCGUGUAGUCCCUGUCUCUUAUAC
This 301-nucleotide ribosomal RNA is filed under the name uncultured bacterium. RNAcentral describes it as "partial 16S ribosomal RNA". It matches the Rfam family "Bacterial small subunit ribosomal RNA", at positions 509 to 807 of the family's 1533-position model. The record is from RNAcentral.